AUUGCCUCAGUAACGGCGAGUGAAGCGGCAACAGCUCAAAUUUGAAAUCUGGCCCUAGGCCCGAGUUGUAAUUUGCAGAGGAUGCUUUUGGUGAGGUGCCUUCCGAGUUCCCUGGAACGGGACGCCAUAGAGGGUGAGAGCCCCGUCUGGUCGGACACCGAGCCUCUGUAAAGCUCCUUCGACGAGUCGAGUAGUUUGGGAAUGCUGCUCUAAAUGGGAGGUAUAUGUCUUCUAAAGCUAAAUACCGGCCAGAGACCGAUAGCGCACAAGUAGAGUGAUCGAAAGAUGAAAAGCACUUUGAAAAGAGAGUUAAAUAGCACGUGAAAUUGUUGAAAGGGAAGCGUUUAUGACCAGACUUGGCCCGGUUGAUCAUCCAGCGUUCUCGCUGGUGCACUCUGCCGGUCCAGGCCAGCAUCAGUUCGUCGCGGGGGAUAAAGGUUUCGGGAAUGUGGCUCCUCCGGGAGUGUUAUAGCCCGUUGCGUAAUACCCUGCGGUGGACUGAGGUCCGCGCUUCUGCAAGGAUGCUGGCGUAAUGGUCAUCAACGACCCGUCUUGAAACACGGACCAAGGAGUCGUCUUCGUAUGCGAGUGUUCGGGUGUAAAACCCCUACGCGUAAUGAAAGUGAACGCAGGUGAGAGCUUCGGCGCAUCAUCGACCGAUCCUGAUGUUCUCGGAUGGAUUUGAGUAAGAGCAUACGGGGCCGGACCCGAAAGAAGGUGAACUAUGCCUGUAUAGGGUGAAGCCAGAGGAAACUCUGGUGGAGGCUCGCAGCGGUUCUGACGUGCAAAUCGAUCGUCAAAUAUGGGCAUGGGGGCGAAAG
This 821-nucleotide ribosomal RNA is filed under the name Paramyrothecium foliicola. Its description in RNAcentral is "partial large subunit ribosomal RNA". It matches the Rfam family "Eukaryotic large subunit ribosomal RNA", at positions 74 to 929 of the family's 3401-position model. Lineage: Eukaryota; Fungi; Ascomycota; Sordariomycetes; Hypocreales; Stachybotryaceae. RNAcentral also lists the same sequence under 2 other names. The record is from RNAcentral.